Camelus ferus (Wild Bactrian camel) is the source of this 72-nucleotide transfer RNA. It matches the Rfam family "tRNA". Rfam says of the family: Transfer RNA (tRNA) molecules are approximately 80 nucleotides in length. Lineage: Eukaryota; Metazoa; Chordata; Mammalia; Artiodactyla; Camelidae. The record is from Rfam.
GAGGGUAUAGCUCAGUGGGAGAGCGCAUGCCUAGCAUGCACGAGGUCCUGGGUUCAAUUCCCAGUACCGCCA